UACGUAGGGUGCGAGCGUUGUCCGGAAUUAUUGGGCGUAAAGAGCUCGUAGGCGGUCUGUCGCGUCGGUCGUGAAAACUUGGGGCUUAACCCUGAGCUUGCGGUCGAUACGGGCAUGACUGGAGUUCGGCAGGGGAGACUGGAAUUCCUGGUGUAGCGGUGAAAUGCGCAGAUAUCAGGAGGAACACCAAUGGCGAAGGCAGCUCGCUGGGACGGUACUGACGCUGAGGCGCGAAAGCGUGGGGAGCGAACAGG
Molecule: ribosomal RNA, 254 nt
Filed under: uncultured bacterium
Lineage: Bacteria
Description: partial 16S ribosomal RNA
Rfam family: Bacterial small subunit ribosomal RNA
Source: RNAcentral